Long non-coding RNA from Girardinichthys multiradiatus, 1640 nucleotides. RefSeq lists it as uncharacterized. Lineage: Eukaryota; Metazoa; Chordata; Actinopteri; Cyprinodontiformes; Goodeidae. The transcript is spliced from 2 exons. The record is from RefSeq and is a predicted model, not a curated record.
UUUCUUCAGACUCUGGGACCUUGAUUUCCAAAUAAAAUGCAAAUCUUACUUUAAUCUGAGAAGCGAACUUUGGACCAUUGAGUAACAGUCCAGUUCUUUUUCUGCAUAGCCCAGGUAAGAUGGAUCUAAUAUUCGCUUGACACUAGAAAUCCAUGUGUAUAAUUUGUUUGAGCAUUGUAACUCCUGAGGUGCUGACUCCAGCCUCAGUCCACUGCUUGUGACCUUUUCCUAGCACACUUUUUCCUUCCACUCAACUUCCUAUGAAUAGGUUUGGAUUCAGCACACUGUGAACCAGGUUGUUUGGCAAUGAGCUUUUGUGGCUUACCCUCCUUGUGGAUGGUGUCAAUGACUGUCCCCAUGAUCAUGUCUGCCUGCUGACCCAGACUGAGACCAUUUAUUUGCUCAGUUUUGAGUUAUUUAGCUGAUUAGGGUGUGACACCAUGAGUUUCCAAUAUUGAGCCUUUUAACAAAAAUAAAAAUUUUAGAGACACUGAAUUUUGGGUUGUCAUUAUCUGUAAGCCAAAUUCAUCAGAAACAAGAAAUUAAAAGGUUUGAAAUAUAUAUUUUAUUUGUCUGAUGAGUUCCUCGAUCUUCAUGAUGCUGUUUGUUCUCGAAUGUUCUCCAACAAUCCUUUAAAGCCUUCAAAGAACAGUUGGAUUUACACUGAGGGUAUAUCACUCAACUCAUUUAUAAGAAAUUGAUCAACUAAAAAACUGAUAACUAGUUUCAUCAAAUAUUAUUUAGGGGUGUCAGAGUAAAGUCGGCUUAAGAUUUAUACAUGUAUUAUUUAACUUACCUUUGACAGUUAUGGCCUGGUUUGUGUUGAUCUUUCGAAUAAAUACACUGACGUUUGUAGCUGCAAUGUGCCAAAAUCUAUUGUGUACUGUAAAAAUAUGUAAUGCAUUCAGUAAACCACCGUUGUGUCUCCAUAACUGACUGGACUGUGCACAAAAAUAAAAUUUUUAUGUGAUAUCUCUGUAUCAAACCUGUCUUGCGUUUACUUCGAUUGACAAGUAAGCAUUAAAUGAGGAGAGAAUAGAAAUAUAGUUGAACUAAAGACCAUCUGGGUGUUGUAAAGAGGGUGUGGACCAUUACUGGAAUGUGGCAAUCAGGUUAAGAGAAGAUAAGGAGGAAAAAAGUUCUCUGGUUCAACCCAGAUGUCAUCACGGUAUGCUAAUGAGCUGAGGGGGGCCCUCUUUAAGUGUCGGAGCCCGACAGACAGGGCAGUUAGGAGAUGUAGACCAGACGUCCAUACCGUAAUGAAGACAUCUAUCGACAACAACAUGCAAACAGAUUCCAAACAAUCUGGGGACUAGCUGCAUGAUGGUUCUGUCUUGUGCCCUGGACAGGAUAUCAUCUUAUACUGUAAGUUUUUUAAAGAGACACUACAGUAUAGAUGAUGUACUAUCCAGGGUAUCAUUCCACCUCCGCUGGAGCCAGAGAAGACGUAGGCUGUAAUGUUUGGAGGGCCGAACACACAACCGAGGGGGGCAGUUAAACCGUUACCAUUACUGAGUUUUAGUAAUGGUAAGGGUUCUACGGCCUUCACUCAAUGUCAUCGAAGGAAAGGACACACUCGUGUGUUGUGUUGUUAAAUUCAAAGAAAUAAUGUCAAAUAAAGAUGAUGGAUGUCUCCCUUA